GGACAGAUGGCCGAGUGGUUAAGGCGACGGUCUUAAGUUCUUUGCACAACUGAUACAUUUGUGUCGUCUGCAACUUUGUACACCGUUAUCCGUGAGGAUGCAGGAGUUCGAACCUCCUUCUGUCCA
This 126-nucleotide transfer RNA is filed under the name Endocarpon pusillum Z07020. It matches the Rfam family "tRNA". Rfam says of the family: Transfer RNA (tRNA) molecules are approximately 80 nucleotides in length. Lineage: Eukaryota; Fungi; Ascomycota; Eurotiomycetes; Verrucariales; Verrucariaceae. The record is from Rfam by way of RNAcentral.